CCUACGGGAGGCAGCAGUGGGGAAUAUUGCGCAAUGGGCGAAAGCCUGACGCAGCGACGCCGCGUGAGGGAUGAAGGUCUUCGGAUCGUAAACCUCUGUUAGCAGGGAAGAACGGUCACUGUGCUAAUCAGCAGUGAAUUGACGGUACCUGCAAAGGACGCACAGGCUAACGCCGUGCCAGCAGCCGCGGUAAUACGGAGGAUGCGAGCGUUAAUCGGAAUUACUGGGCGUAAAGCGCGCGUAGGCGGUAUGUCAAGUCAAGGGUGAAAUCCCCGCGCUCAACGUGGGAACUGCCUUUGAAACUGGCAAACUGGAGGGUGGGUGCGGAUAGUGGAAUGCCAGGUGUAGGAGUGAAAUCCGUAGAGAUC
RNAcentral lists this ribosomal RNA (368 nucleotides) under uncultured bacterium. RNAcentral's name for it is "partial 16S ribosomal RNA". It matches the Rfam family "Bacterial small subunit ribosomal RNA", at positions 338 to 698 of the family's 1533-position model. The record is from RNAcentral.